Molecule: ribosomal RNA, 301 nt
Filed under: uncultured bacterium
Lineage: Bacteria
Description: partial 16S ribosomal RNA
Rfam family: Bacterial small subunit ribosomal RNA
Source: RNAcentral
CAGUAGCCGCGGGAAUACGAAGGGUGCAAGCGUUACUCGGAAUUACUGGGCGUAAAGCGUGCGUAGGUGGUGGUUUAAGUCCGUUGUGAAAGCCCUGGGCUCAACCUGGGAAUUGCAGUGGAUACUGGGUCACUAGAGUGUGGUAGAGGAUAGUGGAAUUUUCGGUGUAGCAGUGAAAUGCGUAGAGAUCGGAAGGAACAUCUGUGGCGAAGGCGACUAUCUGGGCCAACACUGACACUGAGGCACGAAAGCGUGGGGAGCAAACAGGAUUAGAUACCCGCGUAGUCCCUGUCUCUUAUAC